GACGAACGCUGGCGGCGUGCCUAAUACAUGCAAGUCGAGCGAGUCUGCCUUGAAGAUCGGAGUGCUUGCACUCUGUGAAACAAGAUACAGGCUAGCGGCGGACGGGUGAGUAACACGUGGGUAACCUGCCCAAGAGAUCGGGAUAACACCUGGAAACAGAUGCUAAUACCGGAUAACAACAGAUGAUGCCUAUCAACUGUUUAAAAGAUGGUUCUGCUAUCACUCUUGGAUGGACCUGCGGUGCAUUAGCUAGUUGGUAGGGUAACGGCCUACCAAGGCGAUGAUGCAUAGCCGAGGUGAGGGACUGAUCGGCCACAGUGGGACUGAGACACGGCCCAAACUCCUACGGGAGGCAGCAGUAGGGAAUCUUCCACAAUGGACGCAAGUCUGAUGGAGCAACGCCGCGUGAGUGAAGAAGGGUUUCGGCUCGUAAAGCUCUGUUGUUGGUGAAGAAGGACAGGGGUAGUAACUGACCUUUGUUUGACGGUAAUCAAUUAGAAAGUCACGGCUAACUACGUG
Molecule: ribosomal RNA, 519 nt
Filed under: uncultured bacterium
Lineage: Bacteria
Description: partial 16S ribosomal RNA
Rfam family: Bacterial small subunit ribosomal RNA
Source: RNAcentral